UGUAGGAGCCGGCUUGCUGGCGAAGGCAUCGCCUCGGUCUGUCAGAUACACCGCGGUGAUGCCAUCGCCAGCAAGCCGGCUCCUGCA
RNAcentral lists this unclassified non-coding RNA (87 nucleotides) under Pseudomonas migulae. Lineage: Bacteria; Pseudomonadati; Pseudomonadota; Gammaproteobacteria; Pseudomonadales; Pseudomonadaceae. The record is from RNAcentral.